RNAcentral lists this transfer RNA (69 nucleotides) under Marmota monax (woodchuck). Its description in RNAcentral is "tRNA.Ala". It matches the Rfam family "tRNA". From Rfam's summary of the family: Transfer RNA (tRNA) molecules are approximately 80 nucleotides in length. The record is from RNAcentral. Lineage: Eukaryota; Metazoa; Chordata; Mammalia; Rodentia; Sciuridae.
GGGUGUAGCUCAGUGGUAGAGCACUUGUCUAGCAUGCAUGAGGUACUGAGUUCGUUCCUCAACACCACA